GGACCUUGCGUAGCUCAGUGAUGCAAAACAGAUUCUCCAUCAGAAGAAUCCAGAAAGCAGUGAUGCAUGGGACGGUCAUUACCUAGGUAAGGUGUGAAACCAUUCCUAAAAGAUUGGAGAGCUGGUUAUGGUGCUUAGGGUGUUUUUUAUUAUUCUGAAGGCAACGGUCUAUUCUAAUAGUAGUUUAGCAGUAUAGUUCUCUACCAGGCUAC
Non-coding RNA from Pelobates cultripes (western spadefoot toad), 212 nucleotides. NCBI's taxonomy places the organism in Eukaryota, Metazoa, Chordata, Amphibia, Anura, Pelobatidae. The record is from the annotation of a GenBank genome assembly.